This is a long non-coding RNA of Polypterus senegalus (gray bichir), 474 nucleotides long. RefSeq lists it as uncharacterized. NCBI's taxonomy places the organism in Eukaryota, Metazoa, Chordata, Cladistia, Polypteriformes, Polypteridae. The transcript has 4 exons. The record is from RefSeq and is a predicted model, not a curated record.
CUUUAAAGGGCUGCGCAGGCGCACUAACUUGGCCGCGAGGACUCCCCUCUUCUUGUUAUUGUUGUUUGGGCGCCCUCUACAAACGAAGCGCGGCGUCCAUCCGCAGUACAAGGUUAUGAUUAAAGAUGGACCCCAGCUUCCUCGCAGGGAGGGUUCUGGCUUCACAUGCUUGGCUUAGAAACUGAUACCAAAACACUGGUGGGAUGGACUGAUGGCACCUGAGAGAUGGCACAUGUUCAAAGGGAUGCUAAGGAACGUUUUUGCUAGCAGGUCUUCAAUCAACUGUAAGAGAAGAUGACCAACAGCCGAAGCAGAAACCAUUGGAAUCAAACUUCUAGCAGCCAUCACUCGCACAGCAUAGAGUGGACUUCCUGCUAAUGUGAGCAAUGGGUGGAUGAAACCAGAGACUGCACUGAAGGAGAUAAAAAUUCAGAAGGCCCUUCCCGGGAGAUUCCACCUGGCUCUCUUGCCGUC